UCAUAAACUAAGAAACCCUACAUCUCAAAUACUCAUCUCGAAAAAGUCUAUUAGGCGCAGCUUAUUACAUCACCUAGAAAAAUUAUGCCUUUGAUCCUCCAGUUGCUCAGACCGGCGUCCACCAGUCAACCUUCCACUCUCUCAGCCUUGGUUGUACUACUUUGGUCGCCUCCUCCGCUUUUGGGUUCCCGCAGCAUCAAGAAAACGGUGAAUUCAUUCCUUGACGAAAAGGUAAAGAGAUCUUCAGUCUAUCACCACUUAUCUAUUAACUGUUUUUAAUCUAUUAUCUAACUCUUGGUUAAAUAAUCUAAUUUGUUUCAAUCCAUGAAUUCAGUGUUAUCAGGUUUUUGCGUUAUUUAUCAUGUACCAUUUAUAAAAACAAACCUUCAUUUUAAUAGGAUAAGCUCUAUUUUUAAGUUUCAUGUUGAGCUUGCUGUGGAUGACGGCAAAGAUAACGUAACGUUUGUAGUCUUCGAUAAGGAGAUGACAAACCUGACCAAAUACGAAGCUGCUGCUCUUGCGCUUGAGGAGAUAGCAAACGGUGGGGAGGAAGAGCUUCCUUGAAGGGCUUUAAGAUUUUAAACUUAAGCAGCCGCACCGGUGGAAGUAAUACCAUCACUAACAUCGUCUACAAAGAGGCUUUUAAUGGCCUACCUCAAAUACCCCUGUGUAUGAGGAAGCCGAAGACGUUGAAGAAAAUCAGUGAAUUCACCGUAACCCAAAGGAGAAAAGGCAUAGCAGCUAACUCUUCUGUGCUACAAAAAGGAGGCAAGUUCAUCACCAACUUCACUUGCGUAAAUAAUAGAAUCAAACACAGGCACAGCAGGGAAAUUCAGAGACUCUUUAGGCCAAACGUUGUUACGACCCAAAGUAUUUAGUAUUUGUAACAAAAAAAUCACUUCAUUUUAAACCCGUUAAGAUCCAAACACAACUAAAACUCCCGGAUACAAUUUU
Molecule: long non-coding RNA, 954 nt
Organism: Brassica napus (rape)
Lineage: Eukaryota; Viridiplantae; Streptophyta; Magnoliopsida; Brassicales; Brassicaceae
Exons: 4
Source: RefSeq, a predicted model, not a curated record